RNAcentral lists this long non-coding RNA (233 nucleotides) under Elaeis guineensis (African oil palm). RNAcentral describes it as "long non-coding RNA (EGUI_LNC004050)". The record is from RNAcentral. Lineage: Eukaryota; Viridiplantae; Streptophyta; Magnoliopsida; Arecales; Arecaceae.
GAUUGGAGCUCCAAAUACGACAUCAUCUAUAGCAGAUGGGCCUUACAAUCCUCGAAACUGUCGAUAAAUCUACCGACGGCAAUGUCGAUGGCCUCCCUCUUAAACUCUACAGAGUCCCGAUACUCCUGAAUGCAACAAACCCUGACGUCAGGAGGAAUCUGCUCGAAUUGGGGGGUGUGAUGACCUAUGAGCCUUGGCAGAGACCGUGAGGCAGAAGGCAUCUGAUGAGAGCA